CGGCCUCCAAAAGUGCUGGGAUUACAGGCGUGAGCCACCGUGCCCGGCUGUGAGUAACUUUUUACAUUGAUUACAUGUUGAAAUAAUAUUUUGGCUAUACUGUAAGUUCAAAAAUAUUAAAAUCAAUUUCACCUGCUCUUUAUUUUUUAUGUGACUAGUAGUAAAUUUUUAAUUACAAUGUAUGCCUCACACUGUAUCCGACAGUACUGUCUAGAUGUCCUUGGGCCUCUGUUUCCUCC
Molecule: long non-coding RNA, 239 nt
Filed under: Homo sapiens (human)
Lineage: Eukaryota; Metazoa; Chordata; Mammalia; Primates; Hominidae
Description: LHRI_LNC1814.1
Source: RNAcentral